This 198-nucleotide ribosomal RNA is filed under the name uncultured bacterium. RNAcentral describes it as "partial 16S ribosomal RNA". It matches the Rfam family "Bacterial small subunit ribosomal RNA", at positions 328 to 539 of the family's 1533-position model. The record is from RNAcentral.
ACGCUCGACACCUACGGGAGGCAGCAGUGGGGAAUAUUGCACAAUGGGGGGAACCCUGAUGCAGCGACGCCGCGUGAGGGAAGAAGGUUUUCGGAUUGUAAACCUCUGUCCUUGGUGACGAUAAUGACGGUAGCCAAGGAGGAAGCCACGGCUAACUACGUGCCAACAGCCGGCGGAAUCUGAGCGGGCUGGCAAGGC